UGCUCUUAUGGGUGGCGAGUGGCGGACGGGUGAGGAAUACAUCGGAAUCUACCUUUUCGUGGGGGAUAACGUAGGGAAACUUACGCUAAUACCGCAUACGACCUUCGGGUGAAAGCAGGGGACCUUCGGGCCUUGCGCGGAUAGAUGAGCCGAUGUCGGAUUAGCUAGUUGGCGGGGUAAAGGCCCACCAAGGCGACGAUCCGUAGCUGGUCUGAGAGGAUGAUCAGCCACACUGGAACUGAGACACGGUCCAGACUCCUACGGGAGGCAGCAGUGGGGAAUAUUGGACAAUGGGCGCAAGCCUGAUCCAGCCAUACCGCGUGGGUGAAGAAGGCCUUCGGGUUGUAAAGCCCUUUUGUUGGGAAAGAAAAGCAGUCGAUUAAUACUCGGUUGUUCUGACGGUACCCAAAGAAUAAGCACCGGCUAACUUCGUGCCAGCAGCCGCGGUAAUACGAAGGGUGCAAGCGUUACUCGGAAUUACUGGGCGUAAAGCGUGCGUAGGUGGUUGUUUAAGUCUGUUGUGAAAGCCCUGGGCUCAACCUGGGAAUUGCAGUGGAUACUGGGCAACUAGAGUGUGGUAGAGGGUAGUGGAAUUCCCGGUGUAGCAGUGAAAUGCGUAGAGAUCGGGAGGAACAUCCAUGGCGAAGGCAGCUACCUGGACCAACACUGACACUGAGGCACGAAAGCGUGGGGAGCAAACAGGAUUAAAUACCCUGGUAGUUCACCCCCCUAAACAAUGCAAAACUGGAUGUUUGGUUGCAAUUU
Molecule: ribosomal RNA, 765 nt
Filed under: Stenotrophomonas sp. DS-8PS-10
Lineage: Bacteria; Pseudomonadati; Pseudomonadota; Gammaproteobacteria; Lysobacterales; Lysobacteraceae
Description: bacterial SSU rRNA
Rfam family: Bacterial small subunit ribosomal RNA
Source: RNAcentral